This 483-nucleotide ribosomal RNA is filed under the name Triticum aestivum (bread wheat). RNAcentral's name for it is "partial small subunit ribosomal RNA". Lineage: Eukaryota; Viridiplantae; Streptophyta; Magnoliopsida; Poales; Poaceae. The record is from RNAcentral.
GAUCAAGUCGUUUGGACCCUAGGAAAGAAAAGAAAAUUCACUACUAAAUUUGUAUAUGAUUGCCUGGAGAGGAACCUAGCUGGGUGCAAUUACAAGUGGAUAUGGAGGGCGAAGAUUCCUCUUAAAAUACAAAUAUUUAUGUGGCAAUUAUUUCAGAACUCUGUCCUGACCAGGGAUGUCAUGAGCAGACGUGGGUGACGAGGAAGGCCUAUGUGUCCCUUCUGUAAUAAUAGAGAAACCUCUCAACAUCUCUUUUUUACCUGCCCGGUUGCUAGAGUUAUGUGGAGGACAGUGGGAUGUGUUUUGGGCACGGAUAGGUGCCCUAACAAUAUUUGGCGAUAUUUUGCUUGGUGUUACUGUUAUCUUCCUGAUGGGGAGAGGUUCUAUACCUUUGGCCAAGCUGCUCUAUGCUGGGCGAUGUGGAAUUGUCGUAAUAAAAGAAUUUUUGAAUUCAAAGAGUUGAGGUCUCCUUUUGAUGUGUGA